AGGGUGCAGGGCGGAUGCCUUGGCACUAGGAGCCGAUGAAGGACGUGAUAAGCUGCGAUAAGCUUCGGGGAGUUGCACGUAAACUUUGAUCCGAAGAUUUCCGAAUGAGGAAACUCACUUAGAGUAAUGUCUAAGUAUCAUUAAGUGAAUACAUAGCUUAAUGAGGGGAACUCAGGGAACUGAAACAUCUAAGUACCUGAAGGAAGAGAAAGAAAUUCGAUUCCGUAAGUAGCGGCGAGCGAACGCGGAUUAGCCCAAACCAAUAAAGUUUUCUUUAUUGGGGUUGCGGACAUAUCAUAACGAAGAGGUAUCGUAAUUGAAGAGGUUUGGAAAGACCCACCACAGAAGGUAAUAGUCCUGUAUGUUAAACGAGAAGACUUUAGAUAUGAUCCAGAGUACCACGGGACACGUGAAACCCUGUGGGAAGCAGGAGGGACCACCCUCCAAGGCUAAAUACUACCUAGUGACCGAUAGCGUAUAGUACCGUGAGGGAAAGGUGAAAAGAACCCCGGGAGGGGAGUGAAAUAGAACCUGAAACCCUGCACUUACAAGCUGUGGAAGCACAUUUCUUGUGUGACCGCGUACUUUUUGUAGAACGGGCCAACGAGUUACGUUAAGUAGCAAGGUUAAGCACUUAAGGUGUGGAGCCGUAGCGAAAGCGAGUUUUAACUGAGCGUUCAGUUACUUGACGUAGACCCGAAACCGGGCGACCUACCCAUGAGCAGGAUGAAGCGAAAGUAAAAUUUCGUGGAGGUCCGAACCCACGAGCGUUGAAAAGCUCGGGGAUGACUUGUGGGUAGCGGUGAAAUUCCAAUCGAGCCCGGAGAUAGCUGGUUCUCCCCGAAAUAGCUUUAGGGCUAGCCUCAAGGUGAGAGAUACGGAGGUAGAGCACUGAAUGUCCUAGGGGGUAUUGCACCUACCGAAGACUAUCAAACUCCGAAUGCCGUCAUCUUAUACUUGGGAGUCAGACUGUGGGUGAUAAGAUUCAUAGUCGAAAGGGCAACAGCCCAGAUCGUCAGCUAAGGUCCCUAAAUGUAAGUUAAGUGGUAAAGGAUGUGGGAUUGCACAGACAACCAGGAUGUUGGCUUAGAAGCAGCCACUCAUUCAAAGAGUGCGUAAUAGCUCACUGGUCGAGUGAUCCUGCGCCGAAGAUUUCCGGGGCUAAAACUUACUACCGAAGCUACGGCAUCAGUAAUGAUGGGUAGGGGAGCUUCCCAUACGGGUUGAAGCAUGACCGUAAGGACAUGUGGACAGUAUGGGAGUGAGAAUGUUGGCAUGAGUAGCGAGAUGUGGGUGAGAAUCCCACAGGCCGUAAACCCAAGGUUUCCAGGGGAAGGUUCGUCCGCCCUGGGUUAGUCGGGACCUAAGCUGAGGCCGAAAGGCGUAGGUGAUGGACAACAGGUUGAUAUUCCUGUACUACCGAUAACCGUUUGAGAGAAGGGAUGACACAGUAGGAUAAGCUAAGCACACUGUUGGUUAUGUGUGCCCAAGCAUUGAGGCAGUCAAAGUAGGCAAAUCCGCUUUGAUAAUGCUGGGAUGUGAUGGGGAGCGAAAUUUAGUAGCGAAGUAGCUGAUUUCACACUGUCAAGAAAAGUCUCUAUCGAGGUUAAAGGUACCCGUACCGCAAACCGACACAGGUGGGUGAGGAGAGUAUCCUAAGGCCAGCGAGAGAACUGUUGUUAAGGAACUCGGCAAAAUGACCCCGUAACUUAGGGAUAAGGGGUGCCACCAUCAGGUGGCCGCAGAGAAUAGGCCCAAGCGACUGUUUACCAAAAACAUAGGUUUCUGCUAAGUCGCAAGACGAUGUAUAGGAGCUGACGCCUGCCCGGUGCUGGAAGGUUAAGGGGAUCUGUUAGAGCAAUCGAAGCAGUGAACUUAAGCCCCAGUAAACGGCGGCCGUAACUAUAACGGUCCUAAGGUAGCGAAAUUCCUUGUCGGGUAAGUUCCGACCCGCACGAAAGGCGUAACGAUUUGGGCACUGUCUCAACAACAGACUCGGUGAAAUUGUAAUUCCGGUGAAGAUGCCGGAUACCUGCGACAGGACGGAAAGACCCCAUGGAGCUUUACUGUAGCUUGACAUUGGGUCUUGGUACUACAUGUACAGGAUAGGUGGGAGGCUUUGAAACCAGGACGCCAGUUUUGGCGGAGCCAUCCUUGGGAUACCACCCUUGUAGUACUGGGACUCUAACCAUAGGCCAUGAAUCUGGUCUUGGGACACUGUCAGGUGGGCAGUUUGACUGGGGCGGUCGCCUCCCAAAAGGUAACGGAGGCGCUCAAAGGUUCUCUCAGUACGGUCGGAAAUCGUACGUAGAGUGUAAAGGCAAAAGAGAGCUUGAUUGCAAGACAUACAGGUCGAGCAAGGAUGAAAAUCGGACUUAGUGAUCCGGUGGUUCUGCGUGGAAGGGCCAUCGCUCAACGGAUAAAAGCUACCCUGGGGAUAACAGGCUUAUCUCCCCCAAGAGUCCACAUCGACGGGGAGGUUUGGCACCUCGAUGUCGGCUCAUCACAUCCUGGGGCUGUAGUAGGUCCCAAGGGUUGGGCUGUUCGCCCAUUAAAGUGGUACGCGAGCUGGGUUCAGAACGUCGUGAGACAGUUCGGUCCCUAUCCGUCGCAGGCGUAGGAAAUUUGAGAAGACCUGUC
Molecule: ribosomal RNA, 2640 nt
Filed under: Clostridioides difficile
Lineage: Bacteria; Bacillati; Bacillota; Clostridia; Peptostreptococcales; Peptostreptococcaceae
Description: bacterial LSU rRNA
Rfam family: Bacterial large subunit ribosomal RNA
Source: RNAcentral